RNAcentral lists this unclassified non-coding RNA (264 nucleotides) under plant metagenome. Its description in RNAcentral is "partial contains small subunit ribosomal RNA, internal transcribed spacer 1, and 5.8S ribosomal RNA". The stretch from base 1 to 52 matches the Rfam family "Eukaryotic small subunit ribosomal RNA", at positions 1780 to 1831 of the family's 1831-position model. The record is from RNAcentral.
GGAUAAAAGUCGUAACAAGGUCUCCGUUGGUGAACCAGCGGAGGGAUCAUUACCGAGUUUACAACUCCCAAACCCAAUGUGAACCAUACCAAACUGUUGCCUCGGCGGGGUCACGCCCCGGGUGCGUCGCAGCCCCGGAACCAGGCGCCCGCCGGAGGGACCAACCAAACUCUUUCUGUAGUCCCCUCGCGGACGUUAUUUUUACAGCUCUGAGCAAAAAUUCAAAAUGAAUCAAAACUUUCAACAACGGAUCUCUUGGUUCUG